Molecule: long non-coding RNA, 5780 nt
Organism: Brienomyrus brachyistius
Lineage: Eukaryota; Metazoa; Chordata; Actinopteri; Osteoglossiformes; Mormyridae
Exons: 3
Source: RefSeq, a predicted model, not a curated record
CUCACGUAGCAUGUCCCUUGAACCUGGGGGCUUCACUACAAGGGUGCAAAUGUCACACAAUAAGCCCUUUUCAACACUCAGUUAGCUACAUCUUCUCAGAAGGAGAUCAUGUGAGUAGUAGGAGUAGAAACUUUACUUAAUACCCCUCCCACCCCUGUGUUGCCAAGAGAGGCUGCUGGCCUCACCAUGACACGCAGGGCCUUUUUAGGGUGACCUUACUGAAACACCCGCAUAAACUUUCACCAUGUGGCAGGACAGCGGCUUCAUGCUGCGGUCUUUGACUCGUUUCCACUGCAAAACAGUUGCCCACUGUAAGCUGGUUGGAGAUUUCAAUCAGUAGGUGUGGAAAUGGGGUGUAAUUGUGAUGCGUGAAAAGAUCUAAGCUCAGCAGACCAAACUUCCUUUGUUUGUGGGUGUCGUUUUUAGGAAACACUGAAAAUCACUUUUUUGAGACCCACAUUUUAGUUUCGUAAAGACUCCAAGAAAGUCUUUCGUCCGCUGUAAGAUUUAGACCCUUGGAUUUGCAUGUGCAAUUCAGGAACGCAAAUCCAGUAAUUCUGUGCUUUUGGGCACAGAACCAAAAACCCACACAGUUAAAAAUGUCUUUGGAUCUUUUUACUGUCUGAUUAUAAUCUCGUCGAGCUAAUCUCUCCCGCGCUUUUCACCUAAAUAAUAUGAGAUCCAGGCGUCCUGCAGUUUUUCUUCUUAUUGGACGCUGCAAGAUAUUUUCUUGGUGCUCUGAGGGUAAACAUUUGCUCCUGAAAAAUUAACAAAAAAUAAUGGGGAAUAUGUAUCAUCGCUGACACUUUCAAAUUGAACUGGGGCCUUGAAUCAUAUCUGAGUUAACUGAAGAAGCCAUUCCUCAGUGCUGAUAAUGGAGGGUAGAGCCCAGGGACUCUGUAAUUACCAUGUCUGUGAGGUAACAGCACAUUCAUUAUGGCACAGAGAGCUUCUUCAGGCUCAGUCCUUGGGGACAGAGGUGAGAAGCUUCCCAAAGACAUGCUGGGAAAUACUGCAGCAUCUAGUCUAUGUUAUACGGUAAUUUGCAGUAGGGUCUCAGUUAUGAAUCUGCCUGUUCUCGAUUAAAAUAACACACAAAGUCGCACAAAUAGCUGAGCUACAUUUCACUCGUGAAAUAAAAAAACACAAAAAUAUGUACAUUACCCCACAAACCUGUACAGGAUAACCAGUAGGAAGAUGGAUGAGCAAGUUUAUUAAUGAAAGGUGAACGCAGAGCUCUUACAUUCUUUAUGUGAUAUACGCUGAUAUCCUGAAGUUGUUCCAGGAGGUUUGGCGAUAUUAUGUUGUUUUGCGGGUGUCGAUGAUUCACUUUUUAAGAACAUUUGACAUUCCAAUAAAUGAGCACAUCUGUUUUAAACAUCCAGGCUUCUGAACAAUAUAACAUCUUUGUCCUGUAGAUGGAAAGGAUUUAUUUUACCUACUUAUCCCCAUCAGGGUGGAGGGAACACGCGUAGCACUUAGCGGUCAUGGGUCAUGUUUUACAGUCACUCCUUAUGUUUGGAGGCGAGAAAGGAGAAGGACAGUGUAUCCGCGGGGUCAAACGGGGGGCAUGUUUCCCAGUGACGUGCUAACGACACACGCUGCCGUUUCGGUGCUGCUCUCAGACUGGUUGUCGUUAGCAGGUGGGACUGAGAGUAAACAUCUGGUGUUGUGAGUGAGAGUUAACAUCUGGUCUAGCUUCUGAUUUUUUUCUAGACCCUGUGGUAGAAGGAAAGGAUGGAGGUCUUCUGCUGGGACCUCAUAGCAGUUGUAACUGCUUUUCUUUUUCGGUUUAACUGCUGCCAAGUCUGGGGGGAAAUUAUCCCAAUGAAAACUUGGGUUUCUCUUUAUGAUAAUUUAUUGGUAGUUGGACACCAUGCUGGACCCAGUACUGGACACUACUAUGGACUGCUUUGGGCUGAGGGGUUAACACUGUUAAUUUCCUCUUGAAUCCAGUUUCUCAGAAAACUGUACUGAUUGUACCAUGAGCUCCACCGCCGACCCCCACACCAGUUUCAAGGAAGCCUGUAGAAGAGUGUUUCACGCCAGAAACAUCUCGCUUUCUGUCAUCACUCCUUCUCUCCCUCCCACACAGACAGACACACUCUAAGUCUAUAUCCAACGAUGGAGAAUCUCACAUUCACAUCAUUACACCAGUGCUUUCAAAAAGAAACAUCACUAUAUUUAAACUUCAAAAAAUAUAAAGUGAUGUGAGCUCAGAUUAAACUGUAUGAAUUCUAAGGACAUCUUUUAGCAAUAUCAUCUCUCGCUGUUAAGGGAAAUUUACUCAUAGAUCACGGUGACAAUUAUUGGAUUAUGGGGCCCUCUUGUGGUAGUUUUCCAUUAUGACAUUCUAUUAUACCCGUUUCAUGACAUGCGGGGUCAAAAUGUCCCCAUUAUACUAUUUAGUGACUUAUGACAGUUCUUUGUGUGAUUUUACUAUAACAUAGCAUUAUAUGGUGGUGGAAUUGUGGCCGCACUUCUCUGGAGUUGGGAGUUUGAAUCCCACCUCUGCUGUUUGUGUGUGUGUGUGUGUGUGUGGGGGGGGUACUUUGCAUGGCCCUCCUUCAUCAUACAGGUGUCCUCCUGCAGUCUAAGGGCAGGUGGUUAGGCUAAUCGAUAUCUCUAAAUGGCCCUUAGUGUGCCGGGCCUGCAAGGCAGCAGCAUCCCAUCCAGGGUGAACCCCAGUAUGACAUACACUAAAUACCCCUGCAACAAUCAUAAUUUAACGCUCACUCCUUACAUAACGCUCACUCCUUACAUAACGCUCACUCCUUACAUACGCAUACGUCACUUUUUCUGAUCGAUGUCCCACAUCUCUGGCUCCUCUUUUUUUCUUGUCUUUUUCAAUACAACUUUCUGUUCCUUAUUUACACAUUUACCAUGAUUAUUUAUUAAAUAGUUCUCUUAAAUUUUUUGUCCUUCGACUGAUACUACUAUUCUUUUGUUAUGGUGAAACUGAUCACUUUUCAUUUCACUGCAUACCUGGCAUGUGACAAAUAAAAAUCAUUAGUGUUAUAAUGCAUCGUACCAGAAGGGGGCAGCAUGCUAGAAUAAAACAACAAAAUGCAUUAUUUUCACCGUAAACACAAACAUAUCUUCUAGGGUGUUUACGCAUCUCCCUACGGCCGGCAGGGUACAAGCUGCUCAAGGACAGGGGGUUUUUUUAAUCCAGAGAGUGUCCCAGAAUGACUCCCGUGAUGCUCCCAUUUCCAGGUACUGAAUGUGCACUUUACUUAUGGAAUGGGCGUGUGCCUCUGUGGGUUAGGAUGCUAUGCCAGUGAUCAGAAGGUCAUUGGUUCAAAUCCCAUGGUUGACGGAAUGCUUUCACUGUUGGGCCCUUGAACAAGGCCUUUAUCGCCUGCUUGCUCCAGGGACUGACUGACCCUGCUUUGUCAGUUGUACGUGGAUAAAAGCAUCUACUAAAUAAACAUACCGGGUGGCUCUGUACUAUUCAAACCCGAGCUGGUUUCAUUCUCGGUCUGGCUGGGAAGCCAUCACUCCUCCUCCCAAGCAGAUCCAGAAUGAGCAUCCCUUAAACGGCAGAUUCAGUCGCUGCACGGUAAACACGCUGGCGGCUGAUGUAAGUGCGCCACGCUGACAAGGCAGCUUGCGGCCUGCCGGCCCUGCGACUCCGCACAAAGCGGCAGUGUUGAGUGGCCCCGGUGCUUCUGAAGGACUCGGGUCAGAGAAGAAGCCGCCAGCACACACAGCCGCGGCAUUGUCCCCGCGCUCGCGGGCACGGCCGGCCGGAUACCGCUCAAUGCUGCCGGCCUCUCACACCCCACAAUCCUCUCUUUUCACGCGUGACAUUUAACCAACAUUAAUAACACAUCUGUGGGUGGGGGGUGAGGGCCGACAGAAAAUCAUCGAAAGAGGGACAGAGAGGGAAUGUGGUCUUAGGUGAGGGCACUUAGGAACAGGGCUCUGCUGAUGUGUAACUACAGAUCACAGAGCAGAGAGGAGCUCAUAACAGGGGGGUGAUGUGUGGCUUAGCGGUCGUGUUGUACCUCUGAACAGAAGGUUGCUGGUUCAACUCCCAGAUUUGUCUGAGUGGCUUCUGCUGUUGGGUCUUUGAGCGACGCACACACACAUGGAGACAACCGGCUUGAGAGUAUCCGUGUGUGAAAGGCAAUCCAAAUUACCCACACUCUCUGUUAACACCUAGACCUCCAGCAACAUAAUUAACCUUGUCAUGGUGUAUUAUCUGAAAAAAGCCUUCUAGACCUUUCUACUACUCGUGCUCUUGCAGGUACCAAACAGAAGCAAAGAAAAUAAAAUGUAAAGUAAACAGCCAUCAGAAAGGAGGAAGUUUCACUUUUGUUUUUCGGUUGUGACACUCGAGACGGCUGCCGGCAAAGACAAUUCCAGCUACUUCCAAGACACUAGAGCGUGUGGCAGAACAUCGUUAGUUUACAUGUUACCGGAAAAAAAUAACAAAAAACCUAGAAAACAAAAGUGGAGGAACCAAAACUGUAUAAACCCCCUGCAAACCCCACAGCUACACAGGCUGCUUGCAGAAUCCCCCCACCCAGCAUUGUCUUGGGGGUACAAAGGAAGGACACACAUUAGGCAUGAGAAAUGGCUCACGUCACUCUCUGCCCUUGUGUGCUGCACCUUGCAAAGACAGGCUGCUUUUAAAAGCCUCCACUGAGCGUGACACAGGUCUAAUUAUAGCAGGAAAUGCAGGGCAGAGGUGUUGACUUUCAAUCUAAAGUCCGCAACUUGCCCCCCAGUGGGCCAGUUACCGGGGUUACCCAAAACACACAUUCCAGAAUGGAGUCCGACAGACUGAUCUGGCCCAAUGCACCUCAAGAUCCAUAAAACGGCAAACGCUCUGCAGACCUGUAUCGAUGAAUGAUAUUACUUAGGGGAAGGUUUCAAAGCUGUUUCAGAGAGUUUACCCUUGAACACAACCUGCUGGACAGGCAGACAACCACCUGAUCAGCACUAGAGAAUCUGCUGGAAAGAGAAACAGGAUCUGAGAAGCAAUUCUGAGAAGUUGUCUUCUCUGUACUGGCUUAACCACGUCACCCAGGACAGCAUACAGAGUCUGACACAUCCUACACGAGACUCUCAGGCAUAAUGUCAAGUCCUGGCUUGAUCCCGGACAAGCCAGAUACAGCCGACAGCCUAUCAGAAGGGAGCCUUGCAUUCCUAGAGAAGAGGUUCCACCUACACCAGUACUGAUCAUCAGGCAGUAAUCCAGAGCCCGCUUAUGUAGAUUAGAGUCUCUCCUUCCAUAGGUACAUCUACAUCUCAUUGCUCACUGGAGGUGCAAACCCUUCCUAUAACCCAGCACCACACAAAGGCCUGGCAUGAGCAAAGUGGUGAGAGGUCGGACAUCUUCAGUGAUUCAAGAAAUCUUCAGACCAGGAGCAGAGGUGGAUAGUUCAGGUCCAGAGAGUAAAAGUCCAGACCAAGAUUUUGAUUCAACCGACCAGUUGAGCAUUAAGAGUCACAGUCACUUAGCAUGUUUUUAUAUAUAAUAUCAUAAAUGAUGUAAAUUAUCGAUGAUGUAAAUGUUAUAAUUGUUAUUAUUAUUGUUCAUCAAAAUUUGUGCGUAUGUAUACACGUGUAUAAUGUAUAUUAAUCACAAUUAAAAUCAAAGAUCAUACUGAAACCAAACAAAACAUGCAACUGUGCACCAGUUUUAAUAACUGAAUAAUAGAGUGCAUGUCUGCACGUGUGUGUUUGUGUGUGUGUUAGUCACCAUCAGAAUCACAGUGGUAACAGGUGUAUUAAACUCCUCAUAGGGUCCCACACCGACGCUCCAUGGA